GCACAAGCAGUGGAGUAUGUGGUUUAAUUCGAAGCAACGCGAAGAACCUUACCAGGUCUUGACAUCCGAUGCAUAACACAGAGAUGUGUGAAAUCCUUCGGGACAUCGAGACAGGUGGUGCAUGGUUGUCGUCAGCUCGUGUCGUGAGAUGUUGGGUUAAGUCCCGCAACGAGCGCAACCCUUAUUGCCAGUUACUACGUUAAGAGGACUCUGGCGAGACUGCCGUUGACAAAA
Molecule: ribosomal RNA, 234 nt
Filed under: uncultured bacterium
Lineage: Bacteria
Description: partial 16S ribosomal RNA
Rfam family: Bacterial small subunit ribosomal RNA
Source: RNAcentral